UACGGAGGGUGCGAGCGUUGUCCGGAAUCACUGGGCGUAAAGGGCGCGUAGGCGGCCCGCGCAAGCGUGCGGUGAAAGCCCGGGGCUCAACCCCGGGUCGGCCGUGCGGACUGCGGGGCUCGAGCACUGUAGGGGCAGAUGGAAUUCCGGGUGUAGCGGUGGAAUGCGUAGAGAUCCGGAAGAACACCGGUGGCGAAGGCGGCCCGCUGGGCAGGAAGGCUCGCAAGAGCCGGCUGACGCUGAGGCGCGACAGCGUGGGGAGCAAACAGG
This 270-nucleotide ribosomal RNA is filed under the name uncultured bacterium. RNAcentral's name for it is "partial 16S ribosomal RNA". It matches the Rfam family "Bacterial small subunit ribosomal RNA", at positions 524 to 776 of the family's 1533-position model. The record is from RNAcentral.